Astatotilapia calliptera (eastern happy) is the source of this 1006-nucleotide long non-coding RNA. NCBI's taxonomy places the organism in Eukaryota, Metazoa, Chordata, Actinopteri, Cichliformes, Cichlidae. The record is from Ensembl.
CUCAAGCAUAGUAGUGUUUGUACACAGAAAUGCAUUAAACCAGAAACAGUAAGGGAAACCUUUGACCCUAUUUUUAUGUAUUUAUAUAGGUUCAGAAAAUGUAUUCCUCUGUAUUCUUUUAUUUCUGCUCUAUUUUUCAAAAAGAAUACGCCAGUCAGUGUAAUACAGUCGGAGAUAGAAAGGCCUAUGUUCAGGACAGAUCAAAAGCCUGAUAUCUAAUAUAGCACACCAAUAACAACUGGGUACAAUCUAGCCAGCUAACUUCCUUUGUUCUUUCAAAAAGCAUUAUACAUAAUUGUAAAACAUUGUUUGGAAAUAUGUCACUAGUUAUGCUAGUCUACAGACUACAACAGACUGGCACUUCGUCAAUGUUUUUGGAAAAUGCUGCAAUACCAAUUGCACCAACGUUUUAAAAAAUUGAGUGUUAAUCCAUAUUUUUGUCGAAACAUUUCACUCUGGAACAAAAUGUUACAUUGACAACCCAAUGGACUAAUAAACUGACAUUUCAAUCCCUUGAGCCAUGUGGCAGGGGUGGAAACAAGUCUUCAAAGUCCUCUACUAAAGUCAUAUUUAGGAUUGUAACCUGGGGGAUGAUAAAACAAACAAACAAAAAAAAAACAGUUGCUGAACAACAGCCAAUAUUGCAUCAGGAUACUGUAAGUUGCAUACUCAAAAAGCCACAGUAUGAUGGCAUGGCUUGUUCUCUGUCAAUUCUUUGGCAUACAAACACAGACCCCUUUUGUGUCUAAAUGUGCUUUACAAACAUAUACUACAAAGUGAUUUACAGAAUAAAUCAUAGGAGUUGGAGAAUCAUCCAUCUAUCCAUUUUGUUCUGCUCAUCCAAACAUCCAAACAGGACAAAAGAAUGCCAUUCGUCAAGAGACUGCAUGUAGCUAGGAAGUAGAAGUCUGCUACAGAAAAUUUGUUAUAAGCACAUCCAGAAGAGGAUGGAUGGAUGGAUAAAUAGAUGGAUGGAUGUUUUUGAGCUGCAUGCUGAUAUCAAGGC